AGAUUGAACGCUGGCGGCAUGCCUAACACAUGCAAGUCGAACGGGAGUAGCAAUACUCUAGUGGCGGACGGGUGAGGAAUACGUAGGAAUUUGCCCUUAAGUGGGGGAUAACCCGGGGAAACCCGGAUUAAUACCGCAUGACCUCGAAAGAGCAAAGUGGGGGAUCGCAAGACCUCACGCUUUUGGAGAAGCCUACGUCGGAUUAGCUAGUUGGUGAGGUAAUGGCUCACCAAGGCGACGAUCCGUAACUGGUCUGAGAGGAUGAUCAGUCACACCGGAACUGAGACACGGUCCGGACUCCUACGGGAGGCAGCAGUGGGGGAAUAUUGGGACAAUGGGCGCAAGCCUGAUCCAGCAAUGCCGCGUGUGUGAAGAAGCCUUCGGGUUGUAAAGCUAACGUUUAAGUUUAGGAAAGAAAAAACGUCGACUACCUAACACGAGUGAGUCUUAGACGUACCGACAAGAAUAAGCACCGGCUAACUCCUGUCGCUAGCAGCCGC
This 500-nucleotide ribosomal RNA is filed under the name uncultured soil bacterium. Its description in RNAcentral is "bacterial SSU rRNA". It matches the Rfam family "Bacterial small subunit ribosomal RNA", at positions 26 to 518 of the family's 1533-position model. The record is from RNAcentral.